This is a long non-coding RNA of Oxyura jamaicensis (ruddy duck), 2929 nucleotides long. RefSeq lists it as uncharacterized. The transcript is spliced from 5 exons. NCBI's taxonomy places the organism in Eukaryota, Metazoa, Chordata, Aves, Anseriformes, Anatidae. The record is from RefSeq and is a predicted model, not a curated record.
AGCCAGGCAUUGAUCACACAGGCUAAGAGAUACCACUUAAAUAUGGAAAAACAUAUAACGAUCGUGUUUACGGGAGGUCUUCCUGUUUAUAUGGGAAUUAGGAACAGCAGACUUUUAGAGGAGAGAGAAUUUUGUAGACUGAGUAUAUUAUUUCUACUGACUCAAGACAAUCUAUGCUGAUGAAUCAUUUUGAACAAAUAGAGUUGUCAGAAGAGGGAAGACCAAAACACACGAUGAACAACACUGAUGGAUGCAGUGUGAUCUAGUUACUGCAAGAAGCUGGGACCCAAGAGGUUUUGAUACUUGCUUCAACACAACAUGAAACAAAGCCCUUCAAAAAGAAAAAGAAGAGAGAGGAAAAGAGAGAACACUAAGUUUCUAGGAUGCUGGAGAUUUGUGAUUGGAAUCAGGCUCUGCAUACUGAGUUAUCAUCUGCUCUGCAAAGACAUUUCAUCUUCACUAAAAACUCCAAUCUAGACUUACUACAGUGUCCUAACAAAAUUAUAACUGGAAGUAUAAAAAUUCAGCAAAAGGAUUUUAUUACAACAAAUAAAUUUCUCAAAGAACUUAUUUCUUCAACAGCACACAAAAUGUCUCCAUUUGUUAAUUUUUCAAAACUGUGUAUGAUUUCUAGAUAAUGCAUCAGAAUUACAUCAGAAUUGCAUCAGAAGUACAAUGAAGCCACCAUUAAUAUUUCCCCUUGAAUAUUCCAUGUUCCAAAAAUUACAACACACAGGACAUACAUCAUAACUCACAUCUUGAUCUUUUUGGUAUGCCAAUGAGCUGUGCUGACAGAUUUGACUUGAAUCCAACUCUUUAAAGUCUACCGUGCCUAUUCAUUCUUAUCUGGAUUACUAUUGACCAUGAGACAAAGUUCACCAUUCAGCCUUUUUAGAAACAACCUUUUGAAAGUACAAGAUAUUUUGAGAAGCAAACAGAGAAAAUGAAUGAAGUGGCAUGAAUGGUAAUUGGCAGUGCGUACAUGUUUCAGAGGGUGCUUCAGAGGGAGGAGCAGAGACUACAGUUCUGUUUUGCAAGGACCAUAGUGACCAUGAACCCCACAAAACAACUGGCCAAUGAAUUUCUGGAUACCUGACAAGAUGGAUAGUCUGCUCUGAGUUAACUUCAUGCAAGUGUUUCAUACUGAAUAGGAAAAGCUUGGUCAGCAUGACAUGGAGCUUUACCUGACUAUCUCAGUAGGAAUAGCUGUGGCUUGGUGCAGGCACAGAGCUGGACAAAUAUCCAAAAUAGCUACAAUGUCUUCUGCUCUUUCACUGAACACAAGAUGCUGCUCAGUACAAGUUUCUCUGAUGAUCUGGAAGGGAAGCACAGAUUCAUGCCAAAAAGAAAUCUGCUGACCUGACAGGGACUCUUCUCCCACUUUGUUCUUGUAAGUACACAGGUGAGCAAGUAUUAAAUGUGCAGGAGCUCCAUAAUGUCUCCUCAGGAAUUGUUCUCACUUGUUCUCAUUAAUUAACAAUGCUUCAUUUGGCAAACAUAAUUUCACUCAGGUUAUUGGAAGAUGUGGCUACGUGAUACCUCGUGAACUGGACAAUAAUUCCUAUUAAAUCUACCAGAGGGAAAAAAAAAAAAAAAAAAAAAAAAAAAAAGCACCCCAGAUGAAUCCCUAGGACUCAUAAAAUGAUGAAAAUAUCCCUUCUACUUUUUUAAAUAUUUUUUUAUUUUUUUUAAAUGAUUAAGUUCCAUGUUUUUUCAACUGAUCAUGGUUUUUCAGGCCUGAUACGCAAAGGCUGGAUGUUUGGAACUGGCAAAGGUAUACUGAGUAGACAGUAAGUAACAUUUUUAAGGAGACACACAGUGAUAUAUAGUAGACCUCCAUAUUGCCAUGGUCUACAUACCUGUAUAACAAGCAUCCACUUUUGCAUUAGAAUGCUAAGUAACUCUCUAUGUACAUACUAAAACUGACAACACACUUAUGUGCACUUGGACUAAUCUUGAUAUAUUUAUUUUCUAUAAGAGAGGUGCCCACAUGAUGGAUACUUUAUUUAUAUUUCUAUUGAAGAAAUAUUAUUGCUGCCCUAGGAAGCAUUUGAAAUACAGAAUGCUGGGAAUGUGUGAUGUAGAAAGAGUAGUACCUGUUUGCCCUUUUCUGAAAUUCUUCUUACAGCCACAAUUGUAGAGGCAAGACCCUAAGCUAGCUGGACUUCCUGUUUUAUCAACUAUUGUUACCAUUAUGUACAUAAACAGAAUUAUAUUUUAUGCAGAAGAAACUUUCUCAGAAAAAAAGCAAGUUGCAAAAAUUAAGGAGUCCUAUGGUUAGCACUUAAAUAAAUCCAGCCCUUAUAGGAGGUGCCAUUAGAAUGCUCAGUGCAAAAGUAUCAGUGGUUGUAAUUGGUUACACCAGUAGAGCAAAAUACUAGAAGGGCUUGGAUCUACAGGAUUCAGUUAAACAGCCCUUGUCCUCUCAGGUGUGGACCAUCUCUACUUCUGGCAAGAACUACCCAGGAAUUCAGUGGCUGUCUGCACUGCCCCAUACCCAGUUGGCCCUGGGGCCAACUUGCAAUAUGAGCCAAGGGCUGAAGGGGAUGGCCUUGUCCUCACUUAGUGAGGAUACACAGAAUAGCAGUUGAAAUGAAACACAAAAUGGCAGUUUAUCUGCUGAAAGUGCAGCAAGAAUGGCUGGGGAACAAUCCUUGGUGAUGCCUCAGAAUAAGAUGCUGUUGUAGUUCCUUACUGCAUGUGGUCAGUUUGAAGCAGACCAAACUCUGUUCUAAUAUGACCAUGAACAUUGCUGACUCCUUAAAAACAAUGAUUACAGUGAUCAUGUCUGACAUUUCAGCAGCAUCAGCAGAAUUUGUAAGAAAUACAGUGCUUUUAUUUAAGGGGCAAUUUGUCCCCAAGAGGGACAUAUUUUGCAUUUAGGCAGGGGCUUAUAAAAUAGCAAAUCUAACACCUUUUUUCUGCCUCC